This 757-nucleotide unclassified non-coding RNA is filed under the name Hevea brasiliensis (rubber tree). The record is from RNAcentral. Lineage: Eukaryota; Viridiplantae; Streptophyta; Magnoliopsida; Malpighiales; Euphorbiaceae.
AGAAAUGGUUAGGAUUGCUGAGCUAGAAGAAAAGAUAAGGGCUUUCCUAGAGGAGUCACGGGGGCUGAAGGAGGAAGCGAAGAAAACUUCUCUGGAACUCAAUUCUUUCAAAGGGGAAUUUCGAGCCUUUUUGAAUAUUAGGAUGAAAGAUAAGGGUAAAGUGGUCUGCAGCAAUGAGAAUGAAUUGGCCAGAUCUGAGAACAAGGUUUUUGAGAAUAGAGGACUGUUCUCAUUCAAAGACUUCUUUAAUUCCCAUCCAAAGGAUCAAGAGCGAAAUGAAGACCAAGAUGCCCCAAGUCAAGUUUCCAAUAAGAAUGGCAAGGGCACUGAGAUGGAACAGGAUUUCAUUACUGAGAUGCAACAGAAUUUCAUUGCUAAUACAUUUAGUGUGAUUAAGGAUUCUAAGGAGGAAAAUGUUGAAGAGGGUGAUGAAGGGCAAGCAGAUAAUGCAAUGGGGAAAACAAGAGGUGGAUAUGAAAUGAAAAUCCUUUGUUCAAUGACACAAAGGAUGAUUUUGUCUCAGUUAAAAAUGGAAGAAGUGUUUGUGCAGAAAAUUGCAAUAUUAGAGAUUCAAGCUGCACAUUCCAAAGAAAUGUUGGAUUGGAAAAUAGCGUUGGAGAUUAAAGUUGCACAACCCACAGUCCAUAAACCUGAAUUUCUUCCAUCAAUGGGGAUGGAUUGAGCUUACUAAUUCAUGAGGACCUUGAUUUUGAGUUCUAUUCUUCUGUUUUCCUAAUUUCCAUGGAGGAUAAAUGGG